AUUGAACGCUGGCGGCAGGCCUAACACAUGCAAGUCGAGCGGGGGUAGCAAUACCCUAGCGGCGAACGGGUGAGGAAUGCUUGGGAAUCUGCCUGGUAGUGGGGGAUAACGUUCCGAAAGGAACGCUAAUACCGCAUACGUCCUACGGGAGAAAGGGGGGGAUCUUCGGACCUCUCGCUGUCAGAUGAGCCCAAGCCGGAUUAGCUAGUUGGUGGGGUAAAGGCCCACCAAGGCGACGAUCCGUAGCUGGUCUGAGAGGAUGAUCAGCCACACUGGAACUGAGACACGGUCCAGACUCCUACGGGAGGCAGCAGUGGGGAAUAUUGGACAAUGGGCGAAAGCCUGAUCCAGCCAUGCCGCGUGUGUGAAGAAGGCCUCGGUGUAAGUACGACUUACUACCUACGUGUACGAAC
This 413-nucleotide ribosomal RNA is filed under the name uncultured bacterium. RNAcentral's name for it is "bacterial SSU rRNA". It matches the Rfam family "Bacterial small subunit ribosomal RNA", at positions 30 to 450 of the family's 1533-position model. The record is from RNAcentral.